GAUCAUGACUCAGGAUGAACGCUGGCGGCGUGCCUAAUACAUGCAAGUCGAACGCUUCACUUCGGUGAAGAGUGGCGAACGGGUGUGUAAUACAUAAGUAACCUGGCAUCUACAGGGGGAUAACUGAUGGAAACGUCAGCUAAGACCGCAUAGGUGUAGAGAUCGCAUGAACUCUAUAUGAAAAGUGCUACGGGACUGGUAGAUGAUGGACUUAUGGCGCAUUAG
Molecule: ribosomal RNA, 225 nt
Filed under: uncultured bacterium
Lineage: Bacteria
Description: partial 16S ribosomal RNA
Rfam family: Bacterial small subunit ribosomal RNA
Source: RNAcentral